RNAcentral lists this ribosomal RNA (470 nucleotides) under uncultured bacterium. Its description in RNAcentral is "bacterial SSU rRNA". It matches the Rfam family "Bacterial small subunit ribosomal RNA", at positions 29 to 506 of the family's 1533-position model. The record is from RNAcentral.
AUGAACGCUGGCGGCGUGUCUAAGGCAUGCAAGUCGAACGGAUCGGUUUUAGUAGCAAUACAAGGACCGGUUAGUGGCAAACGGGUGCGUAACACAUUGGUAACCUGCCUCGAAGACGGGGACAACCUUCCGAAAGGAUGGCUAAUUCCACGAUGGUCAUCCCGAUGUAAAGUCGGGGUGUAAACGCGCAAAACGCGCUUCGAGAGGGGCCUAUGGCCUAUCAGCUAGUUGGUGAGGUAACGGCUCACCAAGGCUAUGACGGGUAGGGGAUGUGAGAGCAUGAUCCCCCUCACUGGGACUGAGACACUGCCCAGACACCUACGGGUGGCUGCAGUCGAGAAUAUUCCCCAAUGGACGAAAGUCUGAGGGAGCGACGCCGCGUGCAGGAUGAAGGCCUUCGGGUCGUAAACUGCUUUUACCGAGGACGAAAUUAUGACGGUACUCGGAGAAUAAGAGGUUGCUAACUCUGU